Molecule: unclassified non-coding RNA, 257 nt
Filed under: Hevea brasiliensis (rubber tree)
Lineage: Eukaryota; Viridiplantae; Streptophyta; Magnoliopsida; Malpighiales; Euphorbiaceae
Source: RNAcentral
GCUCGAGCAGCAUUCAUUUACAUACGAAUUGCAACACCAAGGAUAACCACCAAAACACACAAGAAAGAAGUGUCCUGACAACCGGAAUAGAUUAUGCCAUGCACACACAUUGCCAGAAUCUAGAGACUAAAGGGCAGUAAGAGAAGUUGUAAAACAGAGGUGUGCACCAAAGCUAGAUAUAUUUGAAGCUGAUUCAAGGACCUACAAGAAAUUCAUCCCCAAAAAAAUCCUUCGAUUUACUUUACAAAAUAGAAGAC